Molecule: non-coding RNA, 3221 nt
Organism: Chrysemys picta bellii (western painted turtle)
Lineage: Eukaryota; Metazoa; Chordata; Testudines; Emydidae
Source: RefSeq, a predicted model, not a curated record
GCAGAUUCCCAUUGGCUGGCUGGGGGAAAGGGGGCUCUUUCGUAGCCAUCUGUGAAAUCCAGCCCUUAUUUGAUACUCAGACGCUUGCGGGGCCUGUGGCAAACGGUACAGAGCCAGACUGGCUGGGUACCUGCUUCUGGGAAGUUCGAAACUGCCAGUCGAACCCAGGCGGGCUGAUUCUGAGCUCCCGUACCCCUUGGCAUCUGUAUUCCCCGACGGACGCUGCUGUGACGUAGAAUCCCCAGCUUUGCUUCUGUAGCUUCCACCCUCUGGAAACAUUCCCUAUUGCUCCCAUGGGUCUGGAAAUAAACCUGCCCCGAUGCCUUCGUUCAGGGGGCGAGCGAGCCCGUGUCUGGGGCCGGGAGCCCGAAUGCGCCUGGCUGCAGACAGCCGAGCUGGUGGAUCAGUCACUGCCGAGGAGCUCGGGAGCGGAGCAAAGGGACGUAAGGAGUUAAUAGCGCCCUGCACAGCUCUGUUUUGAAGGAGGAGAGGCCGAGCUGUCGGAGUCAGAAACAGCUGCACUGAGAGCAGUGGGAAAGGCGCUGAUCCGGGCGCGGUGACGGCAUCUGGAGUAACCGGAGCCUGGAGGGCGGGGAGGCUGUGUUUUGUUCCUGCAGAAAUACCGAGGAUAUGUUUUCAAGCAGCAAAGCCGGCUGAGGAGGGGACUAGUGGGCGAAAGAGGCCUUCCCCUCUCAGGGGCUGGUUCGGAAUGGCUGGGGCUGGCCAGUGUCUCAGGCCACGUCUCCACUGGAUCAGAGGUGUGACGGCUGCCUGCGUGACGUUCCCGAGCUAGCUUUACUGGAGCUUGGGGCACAAGCGGUGAAGCCGUGGCAGUGCAGGCUAGCCGUUGGACUUCAUGUGCCCAGGGUCCCCUGUGCUGCCGCUGCCGCUUCACUGCUGUUGGUACCUGCUAGCGCGGGUGUGUGUUCGCAUGUCGCUGUCACACCUCUCACUGCGGUGGAGACAGACCCUUAGCGCUGUCACUGCCCCGUGUGGCUGCCUGAGCUCUUGGCCUGCAGUAAGUUUUAUGCUGCGCCCAUCACCAAGCUCUUUGGCGGCCAGCGUGGAAUAGAUUGCUGGCUCUCAGACGGGCUCCUGGUGAUCAGAGUAGGACAGGAUUCUCGCCAGGAAGGAGUCUUGUUCCCUGCCUCCUCGCAGCCGUUCCCUGGAUGUGGGCACCUCUCAUAAUCAGCCUCUACUUACAGUUCCCUGCCCAACUACCGGGGAACUGCUCCCACCACAGAGCCAGGCUUGGGUGGGACUGCAGGGAGCAAGUUUCUUCAUGUGCGAAGAGCGAAUGGGGGCUGCCGUCUCGAGCAGCGCUGAUUGUGGAUCAAGAGUGCAGCGCAAGUAGGAAGGACAAAACUGCAGGAGAGAGCGCAGUGUGCGUAUGCAUCUCCUCUGACAAUCUGCACAAAGCGGGACACAACAUGGCUGCCUCUCGCUCUGGGCAGGCAGCCGUGUGCUUGGCGAGUUCAGGAAGGGAUUCCUGCACCCCCCUUGAAUCAUAUUCAGGCCACCCGUCGUUGUGUUCCCUGCAAACCCUAGACUCAGAGACUUUAAGGCCAGAAAGACCCAUCGUGAUCAUCUAGUCUGACCCUCUGCACAUCGCAGGCCACAAAAGCUCACCCAUCCCACCUGCAAUAGACCCAGAGCCUCUGGCAAGUUACUGACAUCCUCCGACCCUCUCCGCACACCAGAAAGGACCGUACACAUCCAGCACACGGAUCUGGCGUUGGGGUCUGACCGUGCACUCAAAACAGGCGGGAGCAUGGAGGGAGCUGGCAGGGGGAUGCAGACACCGGUCGAUACCUAACGCCUGGAUGCUCUCAAUAAACAUUCCCUGACACGAACAGAGCCAGCUCUGCAUUCUGAGAGCGCCGGCACCCAAGACGCCCCCGGCUGCCUCUUGCAUCGCCACCUGACCUGGUGCAGGGGCCAUUUCGCUUCCCCAUCCACCCCCCCACCACGGUGACCUUGGCCCGCCGAGGGGGUGACGGCUGAAUGUGUUGCAGGGAGGGAGGGCCUGGCUCUGCGAAGCCCUGCAUAGCUUGGGCCCUGGCUGUCUGCGAGAGCGCCCUACGGUCAGCCAGCAUGCCUGCGCCAACAGCCUCGGAUCGAGGUGUUGGGAAAGGUCGUGCAUCUCCUCCCGUCCCAGUCGCUGCACCUGUGACCUGGCAGGGUGUUCUCCACCCGGGGAUCCUGCCUCGGCCUGAGACAGCUGCCGUCUCUUGACAUUUGGACCUUGCUUCUGCUCGGUGGGAGUAAAAGCAGUGCCCUUGGCCUGCACUCAGGAGCAACCCUAUAAUAACAAACCAGUAUGUGAAGCCCUGCGCUUGUGAACGACCCUACAAUAACAAACCAGCAGGUACAGCCCAGCACUUAGUUGCAACCUAACAAUAACAAACCAAUGUGUGUGGCCUGGAACUCAAGAGCAACCCUCUAAUAACAAACCAGCAUGUGCAGCCCAGCACUUGUGAGCGACCCUACAAUAACAAACCGGCACGUGCAGCCCAGCUGUUGCGAGCAACCCCACAAUAACAAACCAGCACGUGCAGCCCAGCACUUGUGAGCGACCCUACAAUAACAAACCAGCAUGUGCAGCCCAGCACUUGUGAGCGACCCUACAAUAACAAACCAGCAUGUGCAGCCCAGCUCUUGUGAGCGACCCUACAAUAACAAACCAGCAUGUGCAGCCCAGCUCUUGCGAGCGACCCCACAAUAACAAACCAGCAUGUGCAGCCCAGCUCUUGCCAGCGACCCUACAAUAACAAACCAGCACAUGCAGCCCAGCACUUGCGAGCGACCCUACAAUAACAAACCAGCAUGUGCAGCCCAGCUCUUGCGAGUGACCCUACAAUAACAAACCAGCAUGUGCAGCCCAGCACUUGCGAGUGACCCUACAAUAACAAACCAGCACGUGCAUCCCAGCUCUUGCGAGCGACCCUACAAUAACAAACCGGCACGUGCAGCCUAGCACUUGUGAGCGACCCUACAAUAACAAACCAGCACGUGCAGCCCAGCUCUUGCCAGCGACCCUACAAUAACAAACCGGCACAUGCAGCCCAGCACUUGCGAGCGACCCUACAAUAACAAACCAGUGCAGGAGGAAGAACAUCAAUAAGGAAAUGUGUGACUCUCAAAGUGCAGGGGCUGCUCCGGGUGAAAAUGAGGAGCAAUCGCUUUAAAACGUCAGCAUGAGCCGACAAGCCUCCGUGCGG